This 628-nucleotide ribosomal RNA is filed under the name uncultured Alphaproteobacteria bacterium. RNAcentral describes it as "bacterial SSU rRNA". It matches the Rfam family "Bacterial small subunit ribosomal RNA", at positions 1 to 676 of the family's 1533-position model. The record is from RNAcentral. Lineage: Bacteria; Pseudomonadati; Pseudomonadota; Alphaproteobacteria.
GCCCUUAGAGUUUGAUCCUGGCUCAGAACGAACGCUGGCGGCAGGCCUAACACAUGCAAGUCGAGCGAGGACUUCGGUCCUAGCGGCGGACGGGUGAGUAACGCGUGGGAACGUGCCCCUUGGUACGGAAUAGUCCCGGGAAACUGGGUUUAAUACCGUAUGAGCUCUUCGGAGGAAAGAUUUAUCGCCAAGGGAUCGGCCCGCGUUGGAUUAGGUAGUUGGUGGGGUAAUGGCCUACCAAGCCGACGAUCCAUAGCUGGUUUGAGAGGAUGAUCAGCCACACUGGGACUGAGACACGGCCCAGACUCCUACGGGAGGCAGCAGUGGGGAAUCUUAGACAAUGGGGGAAACCCUGAUCUAGCCAUGCCGCGUGAGCGAUGAAGGCCUUAGGGUUGUAAAGCUCUUUCGCUGGGGAAGAUAAUGACGGUACCCAGUAAAGAAGCCCCGGCUAACUCCGUGCCAGCAGCCGCGGUAAUACGGAGGGGGCUAGCGUUGUUCGGAAUUACUGGGCGUAAAGCGCGCGUAGGCGGGCUGGAAAGUUGGGGGUGAAAUCCCGGGGCUCAACCCCGGAACUGCCUCCAAAACUAUCAGUCUGGAGUUCGAGAGAGGUGAGUGGAAUUGCGAGUGU